RNAcentral lists this ribosomal RNA (253 nucleotides) under uncultured bacterium. RNAcentral describes it as "partial 16S ribosomal RNA". It matches the Rfam family "Bacterial small subunit ribosomal RNA", at positions 524 to 776 of the family's 1533-position model. The record is from RNAcentral.
GACGUACCACCCGAACGUUAUUCGGAUUCACUGGGCUUACAGAGUCCGUAGGCGGUGGAGAAAGUUAGGCGUGAAAUCCCCCAGCUCAACUGAGGAAUAGCGCUUAAAACUACUUCGCUAGAGAGAGUCAGAGGUAAGCGGAACUGAUGGUGGAGCGGUGAAAUGCGUUGAUAUCAUCAGGAACACCGGUGGCGAAAGCGGCUUACUGGGGCUUUUCUGACGCUGAGGGACGAAAGCUAGGGGAGCGAACGGG